ACCAGAAGCCUCAGCAAGAUGUUUGAAAGACACCGGCUCUCCAAUGUUUGGUCCUCCUCACAUUCUGCAGUGUGAAUUUACCCUCAGUAACAUUCAAGGAAAUAUCUCCAGCAGUUCAGGUGAUUUACUACAGUUAGCCUUCAGUUCUCAGAUCCUGACUUCCCAACCAGAGCAGCUGUCAGCUGACAACAUCACCACGGCAGCUCAGAUUGCUAACACGCUGCUUCAGUCUGCAAAUAUCACAGAGGACAUCGCAGGACAUGAUGGUAACUACCAUCAGUCAGCUGCUGAAUGCCAGUGAGGAGAGUACACAGGAGAGAGACGCUGUCCAGAGAAUUCAUCUCAACACCAGUACCUCUGAUCUGAUAGCUGACAAAGGAGGUUCUACCGAUGUCCAGAUUGUCAUGAAAUUCCCUCCAGGUCCAGGGCUUUCAGUGCUUCUUCAGGAACCAGGAGAAGGGUCAUCUCUGCUAACCUGGGACAAGUGUCUGGGUUACAUGUUGAGAUGCUCUUCAAGCCCACAGUAAGAUUUAUCUUGGAAUCAGUAAACACAUAGUGAUCCAAAUUCUCUGGGAAACACAGUGGGAGGUUAUCCAUUAUCUAGUUAGGGGGUAGGCAGCACAGUUCCUGGAGUGCUGCAGGUAUUACAGGAUGUUGUUCCAACUAGGCACUUCAUCUGCUAAUUGGUCACUUCCUGGUCGGUUAAGUCAAAAACAUGAUGUGCCUGUGGCCCUCCAAGACCAGGGUUGCCUAACCCGGAUCAAAGUUAUUCAUUGACUCUUAUCAGCCAUAGGGAACAAGGUAGCAUAUUUGUCCAGUGAACAAGGAAGCACAUGUUGUAUUGUACAGUGGGGAGAACAAG
Oncorhynchus masou masou (cherry salmon) is the source of this 862-nucleotide long non-coding RNA. RefSeq lists it as uncharacterized. NCBI's taxonomy places the organism in Eukaryota, Metazoa, Chordata, Actinopteri, Salmoniformes, Salmonidae. The transcript is spliced from 5 exons. The record is from RefSeq and is a predicted model, not a curated record.